GACGAACGCUGGCGGCGUGCUUAACACAUGCAAGUCGAACGGAAAGGCCCUGCUUUUGUGGGGUGCUCGAGUGGCGAACGGGUGAGUAACACGUGAGUAACCUGCCCUUGACUUUGGGAUAACUUCAGGAAACUGGGGCUAAUACCGGAUAGGAGCUCCUGCUGCAUGGUGGGGGUUGGAAAGUUUCGGCGGUUGGGGAUGGACUCGCGGCUUAUCAGCUUGUUGGUGGGGUAGUGGCUUACCAAGGCUUUGACGGGUAGCCGGCCUGAGAGGGUGACCGGCCACAUUGGGACUGAGAUACGGCCCAGACUCCUACGGGAGGCAGCAGUGGGGAAUAUUGCACAAUGGGCGGAAGCCUGAUCAGCAACGCCGCGUGCGGGAUGACGGCCUUCGGGUUGUAAACCGCUUUCGCCUGUGACGAAGCGUGAGUGACGGUAAUGGGUAAAGAAGCACCGGCUAACUACGUG
RNAcentral lists this ribosomal RNA (467 nucleotides) under uncultured bacterium. RNAcentral describes it as "partial 16S ribosomal RNA". It matches the Rfam family "Bacterial small subunit ribosomal RNA", at positions 28 to 507 of the family's 1533-position model. The record is from RNAcentral.